This 949-nucleotide ribosomal RNA is filed under the name uncultured bacterium. Its description in RNAcentral is "bacterial SSU rRNA". It matches the Rfam family "Bacterial small subunit ribosomal RNA", at positions 57 to 945 of the family's 1533-position model. The record is from RNAcentral.
UUAAGUCGCAGGGGUAGGUGACUUCGGUUACCUGAGAUCCGGCACACGGGCUGCGCAGGCGCGGUAUACAAUCUACCUUUUACAGCAUGGAUAGCCCAGAGAAAUUUGGAUUAAUACGCUCUAACCUUUUUAGAAUGGUAUCAAUUUGAUUAUUAAAGUUUCCAACCGGUCAAAAGAUUGAAUAUGCGGAGUUUGCAGUCCCGUUAGCCAGGAUGGUAAGGUAACGGGCCUACCAAGGGGUAGGAGGGCCUGAGGGUCCUGAGAGGGAGAUCCCCCACAGAUGGUACUGAAGACACGGUCCAGCACUACCUACGGGAGGGAGCAGUGAGGAAUAUUGGAACAAUGGGCGGCAAGCCUGAUCCAGCCAUGCCGCGUGCAGGAAUGAAGGUCCUAUGGAUUGUAAACUGCUUUUAAUACAGGAAUGAAACACCUCUACGUGUAGCAGACCUGACGGUAACUGUAUGAAUAAUGGACCGGCUAACCUCCCGUGCCAGCAGCCGCGGGUAAUACGGAGGCGUCCAAGCGGUUAUCCGGAAUCAUUGGGUUUAAAGGGUCCCGUAGGUCGGCCAAAUAAGUCAGUGGUGAAAGCCCAUCGCUGCAACGAUGGUAACGGCCAUUGUAUACUGUUUGGCUUGAAUUAUUAGGAAGUAACUAGAAUAUGUAGUGUAGCGGUGGAAAUGCUUUAGAGAUUAACAUGGAAUACCACAUUGCGAAGGGCAGCGUUACUACUAAUAUAUUGACGCUGAUGGACGAAAGCGUGGGGAGCGAACAGGAUUAGAUACCCUGGUAGUCCACGCCGUAAAGCGAUGGAUACUACGCUGUUCGGAGCAAUCUGAAGUGGCUAAUGCGAAGUGAUCUUCAUGGGGGGCCUGGGGAGGACGUUCGCAACCAUGAAAUAACUCAGAGGAUUCUUUUAGCUGACGUCUUACAUUCGGCGGAAUUACCUGGG